CUUUACUGGGCAGCCGCUUGCGCUGGUUAAGUCCCGAUGCUUUCGGCCUGGCCUGAGUCCCCUCUCCCCGACCUCCAAAUCGUGUUACCUUGUCCACGCUCUCCAGACCACGCUUGGGACUGUCUCACUUUUAUUUAAGAGUCCUCGGGGGGAAAAGAGGAGGAAAAAAAAUCCAGAGGCGAUCCGAACGAAUAGGAAAGAAAAAACUUUCAAAAGGGUGUCCACAGCAGCGAAAAAGACACGGGCCUGAACGUGACCAGACCAAGAGUGGCCGGUGCAGCCUGCCAGCAACUGAGACUCCGCCCAGACUCUACCGACCUUCAAACGACAACAGGGCUUGAUUCAGGAGGGUGUGGGGAGACCGAUUCCCACCAGGACCUCACCAGACCCUCAGAACCCCAGCCACACCACUCUUCUUUCAGACCUAAAGGACUCCAGCUUCAUCACCAAGAGGCCCCCUUCCUGAGGCUGGGCAAUCACAGGGGCUGGUUUAAUGGCCACCCCCCACACAGCACCCCCACCCCCCAGCACACACAGACCACACUCCCGUCUGUUAGAAGGCGCUCAGGGGCAAACACAAUUCACAGGUUCUCUUUCCAACUCCUAACAAAGGAAGGAUCAUCUUUACUGCACUGAACAGCAGUGACCCCGACACCCCUAGUACCCCAACUCCAUUAGGAGCACUAGCUGCCUCUCCCAUUAGAAAUGUUCUGUGCUGAAGGUUCAAAUAAAGCCUGGCCCUCCUG
Molecule: long non-coding RNA, 746 nt
Organism: Octodon degus (degu)
Lineage: Eukaryota; Metazoa; Chordata; Mammalia; Rodentia; Octodontidae
Exons: 3
Source: RefSeq, a predicted model, not a curated record